RNAcentral lists this ribosomal RNA (245 nucleotides) under uncultured bacterium. RNAcentral describes it as "partial 16S ribosomal RNA". It matches the Rfam family "Bacterial small subunit ribosomal RNA", at positions 524 to 768 of the family's 1533-position model. The record is from RNAcentral.
UACAGAGGGUGCGAGCGUUAAUCGGAAUUACUGGGCGUAAAGCGCGCGUAGACGGUUUGGUAAGUCAGAUGUGAAAUCCCCGGGCUCAACCUGGGAACUGCAUUUGAUACUGCCUGGCUAGAGUAUGGAAGAGGGAAGUGGAAUUUCCGGUGUAGCGGUGAAAUGCGUAGAUAUCGGAAGGAACACCAGUGGCGAAAGCGACUUCCUGGUCCAAUACUGACGUUCAUGUGCGAAAGCGUGGGGAG